Molecule: long non-coding RNA, 494 nt
Filed under: Elaeis guineensis (African oil palm)
Lineage: Eukaryota; Viridiplantae; Streptophyta; Magnoliopsida; Arecales; Arecaceae
Description: long non-coding RNA (EGUI_LNC057767)
Source: RNAcentral
GAUCUAAUCAGGGUUGACAGUUUAAUCCUGAGUCAUCCUAUACACAGGGGUCAAAAGAGAUGAAUUAUACAGUAACCAUAUUCACGUAGGUUUUGAGUAUUGUGAUUGUGACUAUUCGAUCUAUUUGGAUGUCGGGUAUCAUUGUUAGAUGGUCAUUUUGAUUAGUACAGGAAUUGGUUCCUGUGCUAUCGAUUUAGGUUCGAACCUGCGGGGUCACACAUAUUAGAGGUUCCUAUUAGAUCUGAUGGUUGAUGAAGAGUCCUAAUGCUCGUGGACUAUGAGUCCUACAUGUCUGAGACUCUGUGAUCGAGAAUCAGGAUUCUCUGAUCAUGAGUCCCACAUAUUUUGUGUACCGGGGUCAAGAGUCCCACUGGUUUGGGACUCUUCGAUCAAGGUUUCAUAUCGAUGGAUUUUGAUACCCGAUUGCCCAUCGAAUUUAGACUCAGUAUUUAUGAGAGGUUUAAUUAGUAAUUUGAUCACUAAUUAACUCAAUU